UCUGCUGUCGCAACUGAGUCAGGGUUAUCAAUUUUGCCUCCGGUUGUCUCCAAAAUUGUGGAUCGAUCCCUCUUCAGUUCGGUCCCUGGAAAAGAAAAAAAGCCCACACUACUAAAUUUGGAGGCAGCAACCUGAAGGGGAAGGAAAAGCUGCCACUGCUCGGAACCCGGAGUAUGCAGCACAAUAAAACGCCCGGCAGCAGCAGUAGGAGGAGGAGGAGGGGGAGGAGGAGUAGCAGCAGCAGGACGUCAAGUCAUCGGCAGGAACUCCCAAAUUAAAUGAAUUUAAAUAAAUGGUGUAAUCAAAUGUUAAAUGUCGCUCUGUUCUUCUUAAACCAAGUGAGUGGGCAAAUGAGGACUGUAUCUGCAGAUCCGCCCAGAGCUGUUUUUUUUUUUAACAUCCUGACAACAUUCUGGCGACCUCCAACAUGGGUUUCAAUGUUGCUAUAACGUUGCGGUUACGUGGACAUUAAGUUGCAGGAAGGUUGCCUGCAUGUCUCCGAUAUGUCGCGGUAAUGUUGCUAAAUAACGUGGCGGCAACAUCACGGCGUCUUUCACUUUUCCGGUUGCCGCCACGUUGGAAAUUAACGCGGUGGCAACGUAAACAUUGGUUGGAAAAUCACGUUGCGGCCACGUGAUGGCCACGUUAGUGUGU
Long non-coding RNA from Alosa sapidissima (American shad), 654 nucleotides. RefSeq lists it as uncharacterized. The transcript has 3 exons. The record is from RefSeq and is a predicted model, not a curated record. NCBI's taxonomy places the organism in Eukaryota, Metazoa, Chordata, Actinopteri, Clupeiformes, Clupeidae.